Molecule: unclassified non-coding RNA, 320 nt
Filed under: plant metagenome
Description: partial contains 5.8S ribosomal RNA, internal transcribed spacer 2, and large subunit ribosomal RNA
Rfam family: 5.8S ribosomal RNA (bases 1-105)
Source: RNAcentral
GAAAUGCGAUAAGUAAUGUGAAUUGCAGAAUUCAGUGAAUCAUCGAAUCUUUGAACGCACAUUGCGCCCGCCAGUAUUCUGGCGGGCAUGCCUGUUCGAGCGUCAUUACAACCCUCAGGCCCCCGGGCCUGGCGUUGGGGAUCGGCGGAAGCCCCCUGCGGGCACAACGCCGUCCCCCAAAUACAGUGGCGGUCCCGCCGCAGCUUCCAUUGCGUAGUAGCUAACACCUCGCAACUGGAGAGCGGCGCGGCCACGCCGUAAAACACCCAACUUCUGAAUGUUGACCUCGAAUCAGGUAGGAAUACCCGCUGAACUUAAAC